RNAcentral lists this ribosomal RNA (482 nucleotides) under uncultured bacterium. RNAcentral's name for it is "bacterial SSU rRNA". It matches the Rfam family "Bacterial small subunit ribosomal RNA", at positions 28 to 507 of the family's 1533-position model. The record is from RNAcentral.
GACGAACGCUGGCGGCGUGCCUAACACAUGCAAGUCGAGCGGAGUCGAUCGACGGAAGCCUUCGGGCGGAAGAUGGUUGACUUAGCGGCGGAUGGGUGAGUAACGCGUGGGCAACCUGCCUCGAAGACCGGGAUAACAGACCGAAAGGGCUGCUAAUACCGGAUGUGGUCAAGGAUCCGCAUGGAUUUUGAUUAAAGGGGAAACCCGUUUCGAGAUGGGCCCGCGUCCUAUCAGCUAGUUGGUGAGGUAAAAGCUCACCAAGGCGACGACGGGUAGCCGGCCUGAGAGGGUGACCGGCCACACUGGAACUGAGACACGGUCCAGACUCCUACGGGGGGCAGCAGUGGGGAAUCUUCCACAAUGGGCGAAAGCCUGAUGGAGCGACGCCGCGUGAGCGAAGAAGGCCUUCGGGUUGUAAAGCUCUGUCUGGAGGGACGAAGGAAGUGACGGUACCUCCGGAGGAAGCCACGGCUAACUACGUG